Molecule: long non-coding RNA, 269 nt
Organism: Bubalus bubalis (water buffalo)
Lineage: Eukaryota; Metazoa; Chordata; Mammalia; Artiodactyla; Bovidae
Exons: 2
Source: RefSeq, a predicted model, not a curated record
CGGUUGGAAGAACGCGGGCUCCGGCCUGAAGCGGUGCAUGCUGGAACUUGUAGUGCUCAGAGCUCAGCUGUUUUGAUCUGCGUAUGCUUAAGGAAGAUUUGUUUUUGCCCAUGAGAAUACAGACUACCUUCGCUAUUCACAGGGUUAUUCGCGGACAUGCGCAGAGUGAAAAUUUUAACCAGCAGUGGGUUGUACCGAAGAUGGAUCCCACAAUCCGCUGUCUUGCUUCAGCUCUUCUAGUGUAAAUAAAUAUCUUCACAGCCUCUUCA